GACGAACGCUGGCGGCGUGCUUAACACAUGCAAGUCGAACGAAGAGCGAUGGAAGCUUGCUUCUAUCAAUCUUAGUGGCGAACGGGUGAGUAACGCGUAAUCAACCUGCCCUUCAGAGGGGGACAACAGUUGGAAACGACUGCUAAUACCGCAUACGAUCUAAUCUCGGCAUCGAGGAAAGAUGAAAGGUGGCCUCUAUUUAUAAGCUAUCACUGAAGGAGGGGAUUGCGUCUGAUUAGCUAGUUGGAGGGGUAACGGCCCACCAAGGCGAUGAUCAGUAGCCGGUCUGAGAGGAUGAACGGCCACAUUGGGACUGAGACACGGCCCAGACUCCUACGGGAGGCAGCAGUGGGGAAUCUUCCGCAAUGGACGAAAGUCUGACGGAGCAACGCCGCGUGAGUGAUGACGGCCUUCGGGUUGUAAAGCUCUGUUAAUCGGGACGAAAGGCCUUCUUGCGAAUAGUGAGAAGGA
RNAcentral lists this ribosomal RNA (471 nucleotides) under Veillonella dispar. RNAcentral's name for it is "bacterial SSU rRNA". It matches the Rfam family "Bacterial small subunit ribosomal RNA", at positions 28 to 472 of the family's 1533-position model. The record is from RNAcentral. Lineage: Bacteria; Bacillati; Bacillota; Negativicutes; Veillonellales; Veillonellaceae.